Non-coding RNA from Paramuricea clavata, 538 nucleotides. Lineage: Eukaryota; Metazoa; Cnidaria; Anthozoa; Malacalcyonacea; Plexauridae. The record is from the annotation of a GenBank genome assembly.
AGUGCCGAUACCGUGGCAGAUGGUUUUAUUCAACUUUUGAACGAUGAAGACAAAGUGGGAGAAGUCAUGACAGUCUCAGCUCAUGAUGGGAUUGGUUACCACAAAUUUCCAGAGCAACUUUGACAAUCAUUUAGUUGAAAACAAAUUGUUUUCAUGUUUAGGUAAUAUGAAUGACAUUUGUUGAAACCAUAAACAGCGAGACAUGAUUCUAUAACUGACUCUUCCACAGUUCCUCGUUACGUUUUAGUGCGGGAGAAUAUGCCCGUUUGCGGGUUACAUCCAACGCGAGCGAAUGGGGACGAGUCAGAUUCUAUAACCUGUAUUUUUAUUUAGCCAACCGCUAAUCAAAGUAUUGUUCCCGGCUAUUGGCAGCCAUGGUAACGUACUGGAAUAAAGUUUGGUGCAAAAUUAUAGAAAAAAAACAAUGAAAAUGUUAAUUCUUUUAAAUUAAUCAUAGAAUUGUCAUUUUAAUAAUAAUAAUAAUUUAAUUCUAUUUUUCUAACAAGUGGCUCUUCAUCCGUAAAAAAAUACAUAUAGU